Molecule: ribosomal RNA, 522 nt
Filed under: Pseudomonas sp. JS189
Lineage: Bacteria; Pseudomonadati; Pseudomonadota; Gammaproteobacteria; Pseudomonadales; Pseudomonadaceae
Description: bacterial SSU rRNA
Rfam family: Bacterial small subunit ribosomal RNA
Source: RNAcentral
UGGAGAGUUUGAUCCUGGCUCAGAUUGAACGCUCGCGGCAGGCCUAACACAUGCAAGUCGAGCGGAUGAAGAGAGCUUGCUCUCUGAUUCAGCGGCGGACGGGUGAGUAAUGCCUAGGAAUCUGCCUGGUAGUGGGGGACAACGUUUCGAAAGGAACGCUAAUACCGCAUACGUCCUACGGGAGAAAGCAGGGGACCUUCGGGCCUUGCGCUAUCAGAUGAGCCUAGGUCGGAUUAGCUAGUUGGUGAGGUAAUGGCUCACCAAGGCGACGAUCCGUAACUGGUCUGAGAGGAUGAUCAGUCACACUGGAACUGAGACACGGUCCAGACUCCUACGGGAGGCAGCAGUGGGGAAUAUUGGACAAUGGGCGAAAGCCUGAUCCAGCCAUGCCGCGUGUGUGAAGAAGGUCUUCGGAUUGUAAAGCACUUUAAGUUGGGAGGAAGGGCAUUAACCUAAUACGUUAGUGUUUUGACGUUACCGACAGAAUAAGCGCCGGCUAACUACGUGCCAGCAGCCGCGGUA